GGCGAGUGACCGGGAUGAGCUCAAAUUUGAAAUCUGGCGUCUUUCAGGCGUCCGAGUUGUAAUCUAUAGAGGCGUUUUCCGCGCCGGACCGCGUCCAAGUCUCUUGGAAUAGAGUAUCAAAGAGGGUGACAAUCCCGUACUUGACGCGACAACCGGUGCUCUGUGAUACGUUCUCAAUGAGUCGAGUUGUUUGGGAAUGCAGCUCUAAAUGGGUGGUAAAUUCCAUCUAAGGCUAAAUAUUGGCGAGAGACCGAUAGCGAACAAGUACCGUGAGGGAAAGAUGAAAAGCACUUUGGAAAGAGAGUUAAACAGCACGUGAAAUUGUUAAAAGGGAAACGAUUGAAGUCAGUCGUGUGGGAAGUAUUCAGCCGUCUCUGGCGGUGUAUUUGCUUCUCACGGGUCAACAUCAGUUUGAUCCGGUAGAAAAAGGCGGGAAGAAGGUGGCACCCUCGGGUGUGUUAUAGCUUCCUGUCAUAUGUGCCGGACCAGACUGAGGAACGCAGCUUGCAGCAAUGCCGGGGUUCGCCCACGUACAAGCUUAGGAUGUUGACAUAAUGGCUUUAA
RNAcentral lists this ribosomal RNA (564 nucleotides) under Vishniacozyma carnescens. RNAcentral describes it as "partial large subunit ribosomal RNA". It matches the Rfam family "Eukaryotic large subunit ribosomal RNA", at positions 88 to 643 of the family's 3401-position model. Lineage: Eukaryota; Fungi; Basidiomycota; Tremellomycetes; Tremellales; Bulleribasidiaceae. The record is from RNAcentral.